GAUGAACGCUGGCGGCGUGCUUAACACAUGCAAGUCGAACGAAGAUGCCGGAGUGCUUGCACUUUGGCAGACUGAGUGGCGGACGGGUGAGUAACGCGUGGGUAACCUGCCUUAUACAGGGGGAUAACAGUUGGAAACGACUGCUAAUACCGCAUAAGCGCACGGUAUCGCAUGAUACAGUGUGAAAAACUCCGGUGGUCUGGGAUGGACCCGNGUCCGAUUAGUUAGUUGGCGGGGUAACGGCCCACCAAGGCGACGAUUGGUAGCCGGACUGAGAGGUUGAACGGCCACAUUGGGACCUGAGACACGGCCCAGACUCCUAC
Molecule: ribosomal RNA, 323 nt
Filed under: uncultured bacterium
Lineage: Bacteria
Description: bacterial SSU rRNA
Rfam family: Bacterial small subunit ribosomal RNA
Source: RNAcentral